Molecule: ribosomal RNA, 253 nt
Filed under: uncultured bacterium
Lineage: Bacteria
Description: partial 16S ribosomal RNA
Rfam family: Bacterial small subunit ribosomal RNA
Source: RNAcentral
GACGUAGGGCGCGAGCGUUGUCCGGAUUUAUUGGGCGUAAAGGGCUCGUAGGCGGUUUGUCGCGUCGGGAGUGAAAACUCAGGGCUCAACCCUGAGCGUGCUUCCGAUACGGGCAGACUAGAGGUAUGCAGGGGAGAACGGAAUUCCUGGUGUAGCGGUGGAAUGCGCAGAUAUCAGGAGGAACACCGGUGGCGAAGGCGGUUCUCUGGGCAUUACCUGACGCUGAGGAGCGAAAGCAUGGGGAGCGAACAGG